Trichomycterus rosablanca is the source of this 1593-nucleotide RNA transcript. It is a transcript of the gene named transmembrane protein 205, with no coding region annotated. The transcript is spliced from 5 exons. Lineage: Eukaryota; Metazoa; Chordata; Actinopteri; Siluriformes; Trichomycteridae. The record is from RefSeq and is a predicted model, not a curated record.
GUAUACGAACCGGUUUACUGGAGUUGUUUCUCCAUAUAUUACCAGAGAGGAGAGCAGGGGUGGAAUGUACAGCACUUUACAGAUUGGAUGCCCUGAACAUGUCCACAGAUCAAGAACUUCCUGUCACUGCUAAACUCCUCCACCUCAUCUUCCUCUCCACGUUCUGGGGCAUGCAGAUAUGGGUCACCUUUAUUUCUGGCUUUGUGAUGGACAGCCAUCUAAACAGGCACACCUAUGGCUUCAUUCAGAGUCGACUCUUCCCUUUCUACCUGCACAUUGGCUCAGCUUGUGCCUUCUUCAGCCUGGCUAUUUUUGCCAUGUACCAUCCAAGUGACCUGCUGGAUGAAAAAGAAGCCUUUCAGAUCUUUAUUUUCUUCGUGUGUGUAACGGUGGCGGCUGUGAAUGCCCAGUGGUUUGGCCAGCUGACCUCCGAGAUCAUGGCAGACAUGCACCUGAUUGAGCAGGCCUGCGGACUGGGCCAGGAUAUUGGGCUCUCAUCUAAUCGCGAGGCUUACUCCAAACUGUGUGACAAAGACCCCAAGUACAAGCAGCUAAGCAAGCGGUUAUGGCUUUACCACCUCCUGUCGUCCCUCUGUAACCUGUGCUGCAUUGUUUGUAAUGGCUACAGCCUGUAUUACCUGGCAGAGAACCUCACUAAGAUUUGAUUUUGCUGUAGCUCCCGUUGAAUCGAAGGAUACAUUGUUCACUAGGAACACAAUGCAAGAACCUUGACGUCUGGAACUGUUGUCAAACAUCUAAUAGUGUACUGGUCAGUUUUUUUAAACGUUCUUUCUGCUCUGUUUAGUGUGAUGUUACAAAAUAUAGUGACUUGAUCUGAUGUACAUAACAUUCACAAAAACCUGUGGUUACAAAAACUGUUGUUGUUAAAUGAUGGAGCAUCGAUCACUGACUUCUAGAUUAAACCAACAAAGCAUCAUGUAAAUUGUAUUUAAAUGUAUUUAACUCUGAUUAAUGAUUACAUGCAUUUCACACCAUGCACUUAUCUCAUUUUGUUUAUGGUAAAGGGUCUUUAGGCAACAAUACAUGCAUGAGAAGAAGGAAUUCAUUGUGUUAUGGUCAGUCUUCCAUUUUUCAGAAAUAGGGCUAGAGUGCCCAGGUGGCGCAGCGGGAUAUUCCGCUAGCACAUGAGCACCGAGAUUCUGAACACCUUGGUUUGAAACUUGAUGUUUCCACUGGUCGGCUGGGCACCAUCUAGCGGGAAGACACGUUUCUGCUAGGGCGGGAUGCCCGGACUAUGUGGUUGGGGUCUUCAAACACUGUGAAAGGACAGUGAUUAGCAGAUAGAGAGGUGCCUAUGCAGAACGCAUGGGUGAAAAAGGGUCCCGCUAAGGGGUGCACAUGGGUCGGAGGAGGCGUGAGCAGCAAUAUACCCACCUCGACUGCAAUCAGGGAUCCCCCAGCAGCAGAAGACAAACUGACUAUGCUAAAUUGGGAGAAAAUGCAUAAAUAAAAUAGAAAUUUUUUUUUGAGAUAGUUUGUUUGCACCCAUUGGACAGUAAAUGAAACAGUGGUAUCUUGCCAAGGUUGGGGAAAAAACCCAAACUCUCAGUUUAGGUUAUGAGGAAACUUGUC